This 779-nucleotide ribosomal RNA is filed under the name Enterococcus faecium. RNAcentral's name for it is "bacterial SSU rRNA". It matches the Rfam family "Bacterial small subunit ribosomal RNA", at positions 28 to 778 of the family's 1533-position model. The record is from RNAcentral. Lineage: Bacteria; Bacillati; Bacillota; Bacilli; Lactobacillales; Enterococcaceae.
GACGAACGCUGGCGGCGUGCAUAAUACAUGCAAGUCGUACGCUUCUUUUUCCACCGGAGCUUGCUCCACCGGAAAAAGAAGAGUGGCGAACGGGUGAGUAACACGUGGGUAACCUGCCCAUCAGAAGGGGAUAACACUUGGAAACAGGUGCUAAUACCGUAUAACAAUCAAAACCGCAUGGUUUUGAUUUGAAAGGCGCUUUCGGGUGUCGCUGAUGGAUGGACCCGCGGUGCAUUAGCUAGUUGGUGAGGUAACGGCUCACCAAGGCCACGAUGCAUAGCCGACCUGAGAGGGUGAUCGGCCACAUUGGGACUGAGACACGGCCCAAACUCCUACGGGAGGCAGCAGUAGGGAAUCUUCGGCAAUGGACGAAAGUCUGACCGAGCAACGCCGCGUGAGUGAAGAAGGUUUUCGGAUCGUAAAACUCUGUUGUUAGAGAAGAACAAGGAUGAGAGUAACUGUUCAUCCCUUGACGGUAUCUAACCAGAAAGCCACGGCUAACUACGUGCCAGCAGCCGCGGUAAUACGUAGGUGGCAAGCGUUGUCCGGAUUUAUUGGGCGUAAAGCGAGCGCAGGCGGUUUCUUAAGUCUGAUGUGAAAGCCCCCGGCUCAACCGGGGAGGGUCAUUGGAAACUGGGAGACUUGAGUGCAGAAGAGGAGAGUGGAAUUCCAUGUGUAGCGGUGAAAUGCGUAGAUAUAUGGAGGAACACCAGUGGCGAAGGCGGCUCUCUGGUCUGUAACUGACGCUGAGGCUCGAAAGCGUGGGGAGCAAACAGGAU